Mus pahari (shrew mouse) is the source of this 849-nucleotide long non-coding RNA. RefSeq lists it as uncharacterized. Lineage: Eukaryota; Metazoa; Chordata; Mammalia; Rodentia; Muridae. The transcript has 3 exons. The record is from RefSeq and is a predicted model, not a curated record.
AAGAGACCGCUGGCAUCGCUGACAGGGAAAGAUGGCAGCACAGCAGUGCUUUAGGGGCCCCAGUCUCCUCUUCAAUGCAUUGGAUGCCAUACUCAGUGCCUACUAUGCGCCAAAUAUUGAGAGAACAUGCCGAGUGUGCCCACUGGGUGCCACACUUGAGAAUUCAGAACUGGGCAGGAUGAAUAUUUACUGAAACAGUUACCCUUCAUCUGGUCCACCCCUUCUCCCAGGAGACUCUGAGUCAGCCUUUAUCUAAGCAGUGUCGAGUCCAACAGGAAGAAAGAUACUCUGGGCAAAGUCUUUUCUGAGGCUCACCCUCCUUGUUCAGCAGUCAGGCAAGUAACUUUGCCUGAGUUGUGAAGUUCAUCAGGACUUGCUUGAACUUGCCCAAAGCAUACCUGUUACUUAGAAUAUGGUCAAGAAUCCAGUGAACCAGGGUCUACGACAGCUCUUUGGAAAAUGUUCUCUCCUUACUACUGUCCUGAGAAGGGAAAAUCCAAACAAGAUUCUUCAGCCAAGGCCGAGAACACAGUGGACAGUCGGUAGCCUACAAGGUCUGCCAUGAAGCAGAGUGCUGCCUCCCUCCCGUCCCCGUCUUCCCAAGGCCCGUGCCUCCUCCCAGUGACUCCAUCUCCGCUGAUCUCAUCCAGGCAGCCACAAGCCACUUCUCUGCUCUUGACUUUUACUGUCCUGUGUGUUUAUACUCUACUUAAUUGGGAGCCAGUAGCACAGCAUCUUUGGGUUAUAAAUGAUCUUUGAAGUCAAAUGGACAAGGCAUUAAAAAAUCCUGGGCAAGUUACUAGACAUCUGAACCGAUUUUAAUGUUAAAUCCUCUACAUUAAAAAAGCU